CGAAAAAAUCAAUUUUUUUUAUGAAUGCUUAAAUUAUAUUAAGAAAAAAAUUAAUUAAAAAUGGUUGAAAAAAUUAUUUGAACUUGGACUCAAUGGCCCAAAGAAAAAAAAAAGUGAUAAUUGGAUCUGAUUUCUUAAUCGGCCCAAAUGACCCAAGAGAGAUCUGAUGUGGACAGUGGACUGGAUCCAAAAAAUGGUCCAAUAUAGAUGUGUUAUUAAUAUUACUUGAUUGCCCUUAAUUAAUGAAACAUGCAAUGUUAGUAAAAAAAAGGCAGACUAAAGUAAAAAGGACAAUUGCUUUAAUAGUAUAGAUGUCUUGACAUUUCUAUACUAACUUUAGUUUUAUUUAAAUUUAUUUGAUAAUAGAUUAUACAUCUCUAUUUAUAAUUGGUUACAUUAAUUUUAGUUUAUGAUUUUAAAAAUGUUUUUAAGUAAAUUUUCUUAAUUUUUGUGCUUUCAUCCAAAACAUCAUAUAUAAUGAAAGAGAGCGAGUAUAAAGUUUGUUUUAACAUUCGUUUAAUAUUUUUGUUACAAAAAAAUGAAAAGAUUAAAUAUACGAUUUUACAAGAUACAAUACUAAAAGGGGAAUAAGGGCUCCAUUGAGCCUAUCCAAGUCAGCCAAUUUAAUCAACCAAUCAUACAAUUUUGAUGAUCCACGUCAUCAUCAACACGACGCCAGCAAGUCAUUUUCUCCGUUUUUGUAUAUCGUGACUUUUCCACUCCUAUUUAUGACUUAUCUCCUCCCUCCUCCUUCAAUUAAUCAUCAUCUCUAAUUCUAUGAUCACUCACGCUUCAGCUUCUCCUCUAUUCUAUAUACAAGCUGUAUUUUUUUUUUUGGUUCUGCGACACUGGUCCGUGGUCUCAGCUUCACCCGCCUUCAUCUCCAUGGACGGAUCGAAGGAAACGUCAACAAACUCUGUGAUCAACUCAAUAAAUCUUCUCCGAUAAAAGUUGAAUCUGGAAAUUCCAACACAAAGAAGAGAAGAUCUGAUUACGAUUCCCCCAUGCGGCUCAUGUUGCCGUCAAAAGGUACACGAUCUGAACGAUGAUAUUGACGGAGGAAGACCGGAUCGGGGGUUUUCAGGUAUAAAGGAUCUAAAUUUCUGAUUAGAAUAUGUCUAAUAAAAGCUCAAACAAUAAACUCAUAAAACUUUAAAAUAUUAUGUGUUCUUUGUGAGCCAUGCUCAAACGGCAACGAGCUCCUUCCCAUAUAUUUUUAGUUCUUUAGAUUUUCUCUUCAUGUGUACAUUUUUGUUUGCAGCUAAUGUUUAUAUAUAUUGUUAUAUAAAAUUGAGAACCUUGCGAUGCCAUUCUUGACGUUAUUGAGAAUAGAUGAUGCGAACAAAACAGCUGUAAGUUUCUGAUGCUUGACGCAUGAUUGACGCUUUGUUAUCUACUCAUAACAAAGCUACAAGCAAUUGUGGAUCAAUGUAUUGAUUUCUUAAACAGGUUACUGUGUUUGAUAACAACCUGAACUUCAAGUAUUUUCAGAUCAGAUCCACGACUAAGCAAAAAAUUACAAUAUUUUAUCCUUUUCCUUUCAAAUAUAUAUACAAACUAAUCUGUAUUGAAUUUGCAUUUUAAAAUUUCUGUUCAGGACUUGCGGGUCAAUGCCAGUUGUAGAGUAUGAAAGAUAUAGUCUGCAGGAAGACACAAGUUUAGUGACUGUGAUAGGGAAGACUUUUGAUCAGUUGGUAUUAAACUGUCACGAGAAUGUUCUUCUUGAGGUUUUGUGGAGGCGAGGCUGCUGGCUCCUCUUCAACUACUUCCAAGUAUGGUGGUGUUAAGGAACUUAAGUCAGUCACGCUCCAGGAGCUUAAUAGCUAUGUUCUCAAUUCAACCCCACAUGUACGUCCACUUAAUAAGGAUGUGGAGUUCAUUUGCAAAGCUGAGGUGGCUGAUAUUGACAAAACCAAUUGAUGGUGGUGCUAUAUCUCCUGUUCUAUGUGCUCGCGCAAGCUGUUUCGUGGAUUCACAUCUUUCAGCUGCGACGGAUGCAAUGAUGACAAUGUAGGUGUCGUCAGGUUCCCAGUGCAGAUGGCGGCAAAAGACGUCACUGAUGCAGCUCUUUUUGUCGCAUUUGCUGGGGCAAUCACCAAACUUUAAUUUCUUUAGGGAACCAGAUUCGAUUUUUUAUACAAUGAAACAUUUGGAUUUGAUUCUGUGCACGGCUAAAGUGACCGGAAUUCAGCAAAAUGAUGGUUGGUGUUAUAUUGGCUGCCUAAUUAUAUUGGCUACCAAAUGGGAUUUGCUAAUGCUGUGGCUUUCCUCAGCUACAGGGUGGCAUUGUCUCUGUCGGACCACACUGAUUCAGCGGCUUUCCUAGCUUUUGAUAUGGAGGUUGCUAAACUUACAAACAUUCAAGCUUCUGAAGCUGCACAAAUUGUGGGAAUACCUACACCUUCCAGCUCAAAGUAACCGAAUUCAAUUUCACUUCAAACCACAAAACCUUCACCAUUUCCCGCAUAUUUCCUCAGAGAAAGCUUGCACCUAUGCCUGCCUCUGUUGUAAAUGUUUGUCUCUUUCACUGCUUUGAGUUUGAUUUGACUAGAAACCUGAAGCAUGCACCUUCUUUUGGACCGAGCUGAACUUAUCAUGCUUUGUGGACAUUUAAGAUGAUGAAGACUUUUGUGAAAAAUUAGCUACUGAGAAAAACCCCGUCCUUUUACCUGCGAUUGCUUUUACUCUGAAGAACUGUGAUGGUUGAGGCAUUCUAUUGACAUGGAUACUCCAACUUUGGAGGAUGCAUUUGAUAGAUUGAAGAGCUUUUGUGAUCGCCACUCCAUUUCAGGUGAACCUCCACUCAAAGGUGUCAAUGGUGUCAACGAAGCUCCCCACUCAAAGAUGUCAAUGGUGUCAACUAAAGGGUUCUUAUCGGACCAACCUGUACAGAGAUGGUAUGUUGGUUCCUAUGUUGACAGAAGCUGGAGCUAUCUCUGCAAAAGCUGGAACAACUUCUGCUUAAUAAGCACAUCCAUUUGUGAUUUGCUUCUUCUAUCAGGAGUAAAAGAGAACAAAUUUGUGUAAUAAAUGUCGACUUUGUCUGAAAUGAUUUAGAGUUGUGGUUAAGUCGAAGUCGGUAUUGAACUUCUGAUACAUUUAUGUUAUCAGGGCAAGCUAAUGAGUGACACACUGAGAACAAUUAAUAAAUAAUUAUGCAAUCAACCAGUUUACGCCUCCAAUUUUCAACCACACGAGACUAAAACCAACAACAUUCAAGCAACCACGGCCAUUGUUGCACCCAACCUAAAACAAAAGCUGGUUGAAGCAUGUUACAAGUUAGAAUGCCAGUUACGUUAAGUUUCAGAACAGUAGAAAUUAUGAACAUAGAUAUUGAACCUUAGAUAUAGACAAACGUUAAAUUAAAAAUACUUCGGUUUCAUUGGAUAACAAUUUUUUUAAAAAUAAAUACUCCUAGACUGAUGCUUAUUCAAAAUACAUCACACUUGAACAUAGAUAUUGAAGUUUAUUACAAAAUCUAUUCAUCUAAGCCACUUCAAACAAAGUAAUGUACAGCUGUCCCUGACCUAAAUAUGAUAAAUUUGCAGGAAAAAAGAUGAAGAAGAUAAUGAAUGAUAUUUAAAAUAAAAAGUCUACAUUCAGGUAG
Long non-coding RNA from Brassica napus (rape), 3607 nucleotides. RefSeq lists it as uncharacterized. NCBI's taxonomy places the organism in Eukaryota, Viridiplantae, Streptophyta, Magnoliopsida, Brassicales, Brassicaceae. The transcript has 10 exons. The record is from RefSeq and is a predicted model, not a curated record.